UACACUAAAUAAUUUUUUUAAUUUUUUUGUUCUAGUUUCCAUCCUUUUUUAAUGAACAAUAUACUGUUUUUGUUGAGCAUUAAUUUUUAAACAGUUGCUUGGUACAAUUUUCAAGAGUAUUUUUAAAAUUUUAGGUAAUCCUGAAAGUACAUCCAAGGCAGUUGAAAAGAAGCAUCCUGAGCUAUUGAAAAUAAAAAUAUAGUUUGAUGAGAGGAGUUUGAAAUGUUGUAUUAAUUACAGGAGGCCUAAAAGAAGACAAAAAGAAAAUUAAAAAAUUAAUUGUAUUAUCAUGAACAAGUGUGAUGGUGAAACAUUUUUGCUACAAUUAAGUUAUAAUCUGCAAAUCACGUUAAGAAUAAAAAUGUGACAG
Amphimedon queenslandica is the source of this 370-nucleotide long non-coding RNA. RefSeq lists it as uncharacterized. The record is from RefSeq and is a predicted model, not a curated record. The transcript has 2 exons. Lineage: Eukaryota; Metazoa; Porifera; Demospongiae; Haplosclerida; Niphatidae.